This 495-nucleotide ribosomal RNA is filed under the name uncultured bacterium. Its description in RNAcentral is "partial 16S ribosomal RNA". It matches the Rfam family "Bacterial small subunit ribosomal RNA", at positions 28 to 507 of the family's 1533-position model. The record is from RNAcentral.
GACGAACGCUGGCGGCGUGCCUAAUACAUGCAAGUAGAACGCUGAGGGAGGAGCUUGCUUCUCUGGAUGAGUUGCGAACGGGUGAGUAACGCGUAGGUAACCUGCCUGGUAGCGGGGGAUAACUAUUGGAAACGAUAGCUAAUACCGCAUAAUAGUAGAUGUCGCAUGACAUUUGCUUAAAAGGUGCAAUUGCAUCACUACCAGAUGGACCUGCGUUGUAUUAGCUAGUUGGUGAGGUAACGGCUCACCAAGGCAACGAUACAUAGCCGACCUGAGAGGGUGAUCGGCCACACUGGGACUGAGACACGGCCCAGACUCCUACGGGAGGCAGCAGGAGGGAAUCUUCGGCAAUGGACGGAAGUCUGACCGAGCAACGCCGCGGGAGUGAAGAAGGUUGUCGGAUCGUAAAGCUCUGUUGUAAGAGAAGAACGAGUGUGAGAGUGGAAAGUUCACACUGUGACGGUAUCUUACCAGAAAGGGACGGCUAACUACGUG